GACGAACGUUGGCGGCGUGCUUAACACAUGCAAGUCGAACGGAAAGGCCCUGCUUUUGUGGGGUGCUCGAGUGGCGAACGGGUGAGUAACACGUGAGUAACCUGCCCUUGACUUUGGGAUAACUUCAGGAAACUGGGGCUAAUACCGGAUAGGAGCUCCUGCUGCAUGGUGGGGGUUGGAAAGUUUCGGCGGUUGGGGAUGGACUCGCGGCUUAUCAGCUUGUUGGUGGGGUAGUGGCUUACCAAGGCUUUGACGGGUAGCCGGCCUGAGAGGGUGACCGGCCACAUUGGGACUGAGAUACGGCCCAGACUCCUACGGGAGGCAGCAGUGGGGAAUAUUGCACAAUGGGCGGAAGCCUGAUGCAGCAACGCCGCGUGCGGGAUGACGGCCUUCGGGUUGUAAACCGCUUUCGCCUGUGACGAAGCGUGAGUGACGGUAAUGGGUAAAGAAGCACCGGCUAACUACGUGCCAGCAGCCGCGGUGAUACGUAGGGUGCGAGCGUUGUCCGGAUUUAUUGGGCGUAAAGGGCUCGUAGGUGGUUGAUCGCGUCGGAAGUGUAAUCUUGGGGCUUAACCCUGAGCGUGCUUUCGAUACGGGUUGACUUGAGGAAGGUAGGGGAGAAUGGAAUUCCUGGUGGAGCGGUGGAAUGCGCAGAUAUCAGGAGGAACACCAGUGGCGAAGGCGGUUCUCUGGGCCUUUCCUGACGCUGAGGAGCGAAAGCGUGGGGAGCGAACAGGCUUAGAUACCCUGGUAGUCCACGCUGUAAACGGUGGGUACUAGGUGUGGGGUCCAUUCCACGGGUUCCGUGCCGUAGCUAACGCUUUAAGUACCCCGCCUGGGGAGUACGGCCGCAAGGCUAAAACUCAGAGGAAUUGACGGGGCCCCGCACAAGCGGCGGAGCAUGCGGAUUAAUUCGAUGCAACGCGUAGAACCUUACCUGGGUUUGACAUGGAUCGGGAGUGCUCAGAGAUGGGUGUGCCUCUUUUGGGGUCGGUUCACAGGUGGUGCAUGCCUGUCGUCAGCUCGUGUCGUGAGAUGUUGGGUUAAGUCCCGCAACGAGCGCAACCCUUGUUCACUGUUGCCAGCACGUUAUGGUGGGGACUCAGUGGAGACCGCCGGGGUCAACUCGGAGGAAGGUGGGGAUGACGUCAAGUCAUCAUGCCCCUUAUGUCCAGGGCUUCACGCAUGCUACAAUGGCUGGUACAGAGAGUGGCGAGCCUGUGAGGGUGAGCGAAUCUCGGAAAGCCGGUCUCAGUUCGGAUUGGGGUCUGCAACUCGACCUCAUGAAGUCGGAGUCGCUAGUAAUCGCAGAUCAGCAACGCUGCGGUAAAUACGUUCCCGGG
This 1343-nucleotide ribosomal RNA is filed under the name uncultured bacterium. RNAcentral's name for it is "16S ribosomal RNA". It matches the Rfam family "Bacterial small subunit ribosomal RNA", at positions 28 to 1378 of the family's 1533-position model. The record is from RNAcentral.